UGCCAGCAGCCGCGGUAAUACGUACCGGACAAACGUUAUUCGGAAUCACUGGGCUUAAAGAGCGCGUAGGCGGUCUAACAGGUGGGGUGUGAAAGCCCACGGCUCAACCGUGGAAUUGCGCUCCAAACCGUUAGGCUUGAGGGAGACAGGGGUGAGCGGAACUGAUGGUGGAGCGGUGAAAUGCGUUGAUAUCAUCAGGAACACCAGUGGCGAAGGCGGCUUUCUGGACCGAUACUGACGCUGAGACGCGAAAGCGUGGGGAGCAAACAGGAUUAGAUA
Molecule: ribosomal RNA, 279 nt
Filed under: uncultured bacterium
Lineage: Bacteria
Description: partial 16S ribosomal RNA
Rfam family: Bacterial small subunit ribosomal RNA
Source: RNAcentral